Molecule: RNA transcript, 4330 nt
Organism: Cercocebus atys (sooty mangabey)
Lineage: Eukaryota; Metazoa; Chordata; Mammalia; Primates; Cercopithecidae
Exons: 4
Source: RefSeq, a predicted model, not a curated record
CCUCAAAGUGCUGGGAUUACAGGCGUGAGCCACCAGACACACUUUCUCUUUAUUUUUUUAAUAGAACGUUUAUAUUCUUUAUGAUAGCUUAAUGGAAGGAGCAUUUGAAAAAGGGUCAGUUAUCGUUAAAGAAAGUGUAUUCUGUCCUCAAGUUGGGAGAGAUCAUGUGUGAGGUAAGCGUUUCAGAAGGUUCCUUAGGGUCAUCACAUUAUACAGGACUCUGUGCCGUGGACACGGAAUUGUAGGGGUUGGGAGGAUCUAUGAGAACUACCAAGGUGAUUGGUGAAAUGUCGGUCAGCCUCCAGACACCUCUGCUGCACCCACUAGGCAGAACUGGGGUAAAAUGCCCAGGUCCUUUGGGCAGAGGAAUUUCAGAAACAAUGUGAGGCAAGAUUUGGAGUUCCCAACUCCCCCAUGCCAGUCCCCAUGUAAGCAAGCAGGACUUUCCCACCCAACAAUAAACGCCUCUCUCUCCCAUCCAAUAAAUAUCACUGAUGUGUUUAUGUCUUGUUAAGCCAUUGGGGCAAAGGAGUAAGCUCCCUGUUAAAGUCAACAAAAGCAAAAAUCAUCCCACAGCUUUUAUCAAACACUAAAACAAUUUUCAAUGUGGAAAAUUUCUUCUUAAUAGGGAAAUGGAAAAUUACAGAUAUAGAAUCAUCCAAUCUUAGAGCUGGAAGGAACCUUGGAGGUCAUCAGUUGAACCUCGAGCCCACUGCUGGAAUUCUUAUUACAACAUCCCUGCUGUCCUCUGCUUGAACGGUCGUAAGCCUGGGCCCUUUCUCAGCACCUCUAAGGAAGUUUUCCACCCAUUGUUGGGUGGUUGUUAGACAGUCAUUCUUAUGUUGAACCAAAAUAGUCCUUCUGGAAACUUCACCCUUCAGGCACAGUUUGAAUCAGUCUAUUUCCUCUCCUCUGUGAGAGCCCUUUGAGUAUUUUAAGGCUGUAAGCCUCAUCCCUUCUGAGUCUUUUGUCCCCAGACCAAGCAUUCUCACUUCCUCCAAAUAUAUAAUAAUCCAUUCUAAAACCUGGCCAAGGACAGGCAUCAAGUCACUGGUGUGUGGUCUUCCUAAUGCUCUUUCCCUCGUCUUGAAAACCAGAUCCACAGCAGGGGCUGGAGCAGCAUACCCAUUCUCGGAGAUUGCCCGAAGGUACAGAUGAAGCUUCUGUGACACCUUUGCAAGUUCAGUGGAUGAGGGAUGCAAGUCGUACACUAACAGAUAAGAGAUGAGACCCACCAUCGGAGCCAGGCUUUGAAGGAACUGACCCUGGUGUGCAUGAGGAAGUACUUCAUGGUGAUGACCCUCGUCACCCCCUCAGGAAAACACAGUGACCUCUCACCCAACACCCCCGUCCCACUCCCAGGUACCCCGGCAAAAGCAGAAGAACCAAGCAAGCCCUUCCACCAAAGCAGCCAUGAACCCCAUUCUCAUCAUCUCCAAGAACUCCCUGCUAUACCAGAUAGGGGUCUGGGGUUCUGUUUUCCAUUUUUUAAAAAAAUCGUUUUCAGACUCUCGAACAGUGUGUUGGUUUACACUAUUCUCUCUUCUUAAACCACCAUAUCAACAGAUUCACUCUGCUUCCUUUCUUUUCAUUUGGCAAAUGCCACACUUUUAAUGGCAGCAAUAAAAGGUGCUUCUAUCAACGCCAGGUGGGCAGCCCGACCAUCUAAAGCCUCAGAGAGGAUUAUACCAAGUCUCUCGUACACCUCCGUGCUAGUGACAACAUGUGGGGACCUCUCAUCCCAAAGUUUUGGGACAAAGUCUCCCGUCCCUUAUCACUUGCUUUCACUGAAGCUAAAUGUAUCUGUUCAGUACAUGGAUAGAUUUUUAAGCUCCUCUCACAAAGUCUUGUGCUUGAGACAAAAUCAGCCCAGGUUCUGCACUUUGUCUACAUUUCAGCAACUCUUCUGCUUGAUAUUAAAAAUAGCCUUGUCUAGUCCAUUGAGAUCAGACCCAGGAGACAGGCGCCUGCUAUUCUAAUCUCUGCUUCACAAAUAGCUCUCUAUGGGCUCAAGCAUCUAUCAACACUUCCAGGGGUCUCCAGUUAUAAAACAGGGCCAGGCCUAGUCACCUAUAAAGGUAGACUCUGCUUAACUCUCCUGAGCUGUCCAUGAGGUUAGCAUGAGGCCUACAACAAUCACAUUUCCACCGUGGACCAGAGACCUCCAAUGGUGACUCAAAACUGAGAAGCAGUUAAGAGCACCCCCCACACUCAGGGGAUCCUGUGCAUUUCCCAGGCCAGAACCUACAAAAGGUUCCCUUGAGACUCAAACUCAAACAUCACUGGUAAACAGGCUGCCCCUCCCCCCUUCCUCCCUCCUCCUGCAAACCUCCCCCAUCCCUCACUUUCACCUCCCUUCCUCCCCAACCCAUCUUGUACUCUGUGAAAAACUGUAGUUCCCUCAGUUGCCAAGGGAACCAAGCCUUUUAUUCCAUCCGUGACUAGCUGGUUGGGCUGAGGAGUGGGGCAACAACUGGUACCCAGGCCUUUGGAAGUCCAAGCCCUCCCUUUUUCCCAAAGGGGGAGGGGUGGGCUGCACCCCCAUUGCCUUUUCACCCAAACCCAGCUGGGUGGGACCGAGCCCUUGGGCUCUCAGGAGCUCCCUGGCUGUGGGCUCGGGAGAUCAGUGCUCCCCAGGCCCUCCUCUGGCCCUGGCCCUUUCCAGAGGACAAUAGCCUUCAUGCAAGGGAAAAUUCCAUCGCCCAGGGUUCAAGUCUCCAAGGAGUUGCUGGGGCCUCUGUUUAGCCUGGAGUGGGCUCUGAGGAGCCGCUGCAGCUGCCCGGCUUGUUUUCCCCCUCGCUGUGUUUUAUUUUUAACCCCUGAGCUGCCAAGGAUUGUUUUUCCCCAACCAGUGCCUGGGAACUAAGGGAGGGAAGAAAUAAGGCUUUGUUCCCUUUGGGGAACUAAUUGGGAAAGACAGGCAGUGUGGCCGGCUUGGCUCUAUUAGGGUGUGAGGCUCCCACCCCUCACUGCACAACAUCUUCACCCUAACCCAUGCCCAGGAGGCUGGGAGUGCAGAGGUGCUCCCCAGGCUGCAAUCAGAGGCCCAGGGGCUGAUGGGAACCCAAGUGCAGCUUCAAAACUGCAAAGGCAGCUCCGAGCCAUUUUCUAGGGCUCCGAAGAUACUUGGGAAAUAAGAUGUUGGGAGCUGGAAAUGUCUACUUUUUCCCAUUUCAACCCCCCAAACUAACCGCUGCUUUUCUCUUGCUGCUGCUGCUGCUGCUGCUGCUAGUGGUGGUGGCUGCUGCUGCUGUUGUUGUUAUUGUUGUUUUCCAGACCUGCAUAAGGAACUCUGGAAGAAAAGUGAGGGAACUCAAAAAAAUAAGAAAACUGAAACAAGGUCGCAAACCACAUGAUCUACAGGGGAGCCACCACUGCCUCCUGAAGAACCCCAGUCAGGAAUCCCAGAUUAAUUUCCCCAGCAUCCUGUUUGGAAACCACAUGUCCACCCUGCAACUGUACCUGGCUUGUGUCCCACAAGGAGAAAGAUGCAGGGGCCUCCAGAAGCUAAAGAGCCACCAGGUUUCCAGGUCCCUCAGGCCCCUGCACAUCCUCAGCUCUCUGAAGAACAGUGACUGGUGUGACGACAGGGCCCCUUCACAGAGCGAACCUGACAAAGAACUACUCACCGCACACACCAGCCUUAGAAUGCACAUGUCAGUGUUUUGGGAAAUACGUGCUGUUUUGAAAUGUGUCUGGGCCAUGAGUAAGUUUGGGGGGAGACGGGAUAGGAGCUUUUCUUCCAGUUAACGAAGUGAGGCUUCAUGGAGGAAGAAGAUUUUCUUAGUCACAUUUCCUGUUUCACACUGACCUUUUAAAAGGAAACCCACAACUGAACCUGUGCUAGGGCCUGCUUACAAAACCUACCCACAGGUAUAAUAAAGAUGAUCUAAAUAAAGCCAAGCUUAACCUGAAUCAGUGGAAAUAAUAAGAUCACCAAGAAGGGCUGAUGGCCUGAGAUAAGGGACAUGGUGGUGCUCCGUAAACUGCAAAUAGAAGUGACACGUGAGAGAUUUAAUGAUUAUUAAACAGGAAUCUAAGCAGAGAGGCAGAGAUAAACCAUGCAAUCUUUUCAUCAGUCUCUAUGUACUCAGGGCUUAGCCGCUUGUUAUAAAAUGGAGACUCUGAAAACUUAGGAGAGAUGGAUGCAGUGAUUUCAAAAGAAGUUGUGUUGAUUGGGUUAUAAAAUUAAUUAUGGGAAUUAAGAUUUCUUAUCUGCAGAGGGAAAAACCAACAGAUAACUGAAGAACUUAAAGUUGGUAAGGGGCCAGGCUUGGUAGCUCAUGCCUAUAAUCCCAACACCUCAGGAGCCUGAAACAAGAGGACUGCU